RNAcentral lists this ribosomal RNA (253 nucleotides) under uncultured bacterium. RNAcentral's name for it is "partial 16S ribosomal RNA". It matches the Rfam family "Bacterial small subunit ribosomal RNA", at positions 524 to 776 of the family's 1533-position model. The record is from RNAcentral.
UACGUAGGGGGCUAGCGUUGUCCGGAAUCAUUGGGCGUAAAGCGCGCGUAGGCGGCCCGGUAAGUCCGCUGUAAAAGUCAAAGGCUCAACCUUUGAAUGUCAGUGGAUACUGCCGGGCUAGAGUCCGGAAGAGGCGAGUGGAACUCCUGGCGUAGCGGUGGAAUGCGCAGAUAUCAGGAAGAACACCGACGGCGAAGGCAGCUCGCUGGGACGGUACUGACGCUGAGGCGCGAAAGCGUGGGGAGCGAACAGG